RNAcentral lists this ribosomal RNA (453 nucleotides) under uncultured marine bacterium. Its description in RNAcentral is "bacterial SSU rRNA". It matches the Rfam family "Bacterial small subunit ribosomal RNA", at positions 360 to 804 of the family's 1533-position model. The record is from RNAcentral.
AAUAUUGGUCAAUGGACGGAAGUCUGAACCAGCCAUGCCGCGUGCAGGAAGACGGCCUUCUGGGUUGUAAACUGCUUUUCUCAGGGAAGAAAAUGGCCUUGCGAGGCAAAUUGCCGGUACCUGAGGAAUAAGCACCGGCUAACUCCGUGCCAGCAGCCGCGGUAAUACGGAGGGUGCGAGCGUUGUCCGGAUUUAUUGGGUUUAAAGGGUGCGCAGGCGGCCCUAUUAAGUCAGUGGUGAAAGGUAUCAGCUUAACUGAUGACGUGCCAUUGAAACUGAUAGGCUUGAGUACAGACGAGGUAGGGCGGAAAUUUUAUGGGUGUAGCGGUGAAAAUGCAUAGAUACCCAUAAAAGAACACCGAUAGCGAAGGCAGCUUACUAGACUGAGACUGACGCUGAGGCACGAAAGCGUGGGAGCGAACAGGAUUAGAUACCCUGGUAGUCCACGCUGUA